AGUGAACGCUGGCGGUAGGCCUAACACAUGCAAGUCGAACGGCAGCACAGUAAGAGCUUGCUCUUACGGGUGGCGAGUGGCGGACGGGUGAGGAAUACAUCGGAAUCUACUUUUUCUUGGGGGAUAACGUAGGGAAACUUACGCUAAUACCGCAUACGACCUACGGGUGAAAGCAUGGGAUCUUCGGACCUUGCGCGAGUGAAUGAGCCGAUGUCGGAUUAGCUAGUUGGCGGGGUAAAGGCCCACCAAGGCGACGAUCCGUAGCUGGUCUGAGAGGAUGAUCAGCCACACUGGAACUGAGACACGGUCCAGACUCCUACGGGAGGCAGCAGUGGGGAAUAUUGGACAAUGGGCGCAAGCCUGAUCCAGCCAUACCGCGUGGGUGAAGAAGGCCUUCGGGUUGUAAAGCCCUUUUGUUGGGAAAGAAAAGCAGCAGGUUAAUACCCCGCUGUUCUGACGGUACCCAAAGAAUAAGCACCGGCUAACUUCGUG
Molecule: ribosomal RNA, 492 nt
Filed under: uncultured bacterium
Lineage: Bacteria
Description: partial 16S ribosomal RNA
Rfam family: Bacterial small subunit ribosomal RNA
Source: RNAcentral